UACGUAGGUGGCAAGCGUUGUCCGGAUUUAUUGGGUUUAAAGGGGGCGUAGGCGGCCCUGUAAGUCAGUGGUGAAAUACUCCAGCUUAACUGGAGGGGUGCCAUUGAUACUGCAGGGCUUGAGUGGAGUCGAAGUAGGCGGAAUUGACGGUGUAGCGGUGAAAUGCUUAGAUAUCGUCAAGAACACCGAUAGUGAAGACAGCUUACUAGGCUUCUACUGACGCUGAGGCACGAAAGUGUGGGGAUCAAACAGG
This 253-nucleotide ribosomal RNA is filed under the name uncultured bacterium. Its description in RNAcentral is "partial 16S ribosomal RNA". It matches the Rfam family "Bacterial small subunit ribosomal RNA", at positions 524 to 776 of the family's 1533-position model. The record is from RNAcentral.